UGACGGGAAAGGGUUGGGGAAUUUCCACUUGUGAUAAAAUUAUGGCUGAGGUGACGACCUGCAAGAAUAGGUGAGCUUCGGAGUAGAAUUCACCAUGCUCUCGGAGGCUUCUACGUCAAGAAUGCAAAAGACGCGGAGGUAACACAGCUCCCACCUGUCGCUCUUUGCCAGCCACGGAGACUGGGGCCGGAGGGUUGCUGCACCGGGAUUGGAGGAACCAGCAAUCAGUCUCAGCUAGAGCCCACCUCCCCACCAGGCCCUGAUUGGAGGAGCGUUGCGUCAGUCACUAGAGAGGUCGCUCUUCUGGGACAGAUGAAGAAGAUGAUGAUGGAUUCACCGCAUGUGUCUGGUUUUAGACAGCAAGAAGAACUUAGCCAAUAUAGGACAUUACAUGGAAAAUCGGCCAGAAACCCUCAAGAGAAACAUACUGAAUAGGAACACAGCUAAGUAUCUCCUGUAAUUGGGGAAAAAAUAUUUUUAAGAUGUCAAGUUGUAGCUUUUUUUUUAAAGGAAGCAUCUCUCUGCAGAAAGUUCCUGUGGUUAGCAAUGAAGGUUAAGCCACUUUUCCCCCAGGUGAAUCCACUAUGAGUAUCAUCCAGCAUGCGGCAGAAAUAACACCUGCUUGAGUGUGGUUGGUAGGGAUAAUAUGGGUGUAAUAAUUUAUAGUUUUAAUUUCAACAUUUCACCUAAAAUGUCAUAUGGUGUGCUUGAGUGUGAUACUGUUGUUACAGAAUUACAUGCUUAUGGUUUUGUAAUAAAAGAUUUUGUAAUAAAAAAGGGGCAUUAUUUGUGCAGGACCCUGUAUUUGGGCCUCCACUGGAUGAUGCAUACUGAAAAUAUGAGUUAUUGCAGCAGUGCUGUGAGCUUCCUUCCACCUCUCAGUACUAAUUAAAAGGGAAGACCAAGAACCACUCUGAAGAAUAAAUACCAGCCAGUAUAUAAGGGUUCAGCUAUAAGUUCUUUGAUAAGAAUAGGGUUCUAAGAACCUGCAAUCAACAGUACUAAGUACAUUACGAUGAAGUUCCAACCUCCUGUCCCACACUUGGAAAACCUGAGGCUAACCACUCCAAACACCCUGAUUCAUAUAUCCUCUUAUACCCUGCAACUUGGGCAGCCACAACCACCUUCUCUAGAAGCUGUCUUUGGCUGGUACCAUGGCAUUCUGCCAUGGAAUUUAGAAGGUCCCAGGACUGGCAAAAGUUUGGAAUCUCAUGGUCUGAGCACUUUCCUGAUAAGAGAACAGUUAUAUAGUAAUCCCCACAGCAAGAAUCAACGUACUCUCCAGGUCAUGGUGGUCUGCCAUGUAGUGAGUCAGUGCUUUCAAAUUACAAGGACCCUCAAGGAGUCAUGUAGUCUUCACACUCCCCUUUUUAAUAAAGAAAGAACUAGAAGACUGGGCAUUAGGGUCAGUGUCUCCCAGGACUAUCUCUGAGGUGACCUACAUGAUCCCAUCCAUUACCCUAUGAUAUUUCCUAUUAAAAACAGAAGUACAUUAUUGCUUACCAAUGUUAGGAAAGCAAGCCCAGAAUUCCAACUGGGGAGCAAUUUUGGCUUAUAAGUGAGACUGAGUCACUCUGAAUAUCUUGCAGGCUCUUGUGGAGUGUUUGAACUCAACUUAGUUUACCACACCCCUUGCUCAUCAAGGUAGGCCCAUAAAUCAGGAGACGCAGCAUGGCGUUCACCUGCAGGGCACUUGACACCGCCACCUCCCAGAUGUUCUUCCCCUAGGAAAUGGCAUGGUGUCUGCUACUGCCCCAAAAGAACACCUAGAGAGUCUAUUGGAGACAUGAGUCUGGACAAGAUCACAGAAGCUGUAAGAAAAAAUGUGGUUGGGGCUCUGCCCUGAAACUUCCCACUAGAAGACCCUCUUAAACCCAGACAUUGGCAAUUUUUCACAUCAGAUCUAGGGAAUUAUAUUUAACUCAGAGAAAUAUGAACUUAGGGGAGAAAUAUUUUACAUGUAUUUCAACAUAUACACACAUACACAACAUGUAUAUUGUCUGAGUUCUCAAAGUAUGGUCUGUAGGCUCCUGGAGGCCCCAAGGCCUUUUCAGGGAGUCCAAGAAAUCAAAACUUUCCAUUAGAAUUCUAAGAUAUUACUUUUCACUGUGUUGACUUUUACACUGAUAGUACAAAAGCAAUGGUGGGUAAAAAUUGCUGGUGCUUUGGGCAAUAGUAUCACAUUGUUAGUAGUUAAUGUAGUCUUAGAGCAUUCUAAGGAGGGGAAAGCCAGUUCUGCUAAGCAUGUCCUUAAUGACACCAGAAAAAUUAAUUUUAUUAAAACUCGACCCUUGAGUACCUAUAUUUUAAAAAUCCCCUGUGAGGAAACGGGAAGGACACGGAGAGCACUUCUGCCAUACACUGGCAUUUUCAAGUACAUCAGUUGUCUCAAGUACAGUACAUUGAUUGUCUCAGAAUAAACACUUGUAAAACCAUUCCAUUUGCAAGCUGAACUAACCACUUUCUGAUGGAACACCAUGUUUCCUUGAGAGUAUGACUAACGUGAAUUUUGGUAAGUCAGACAUGUAUUUGGCAGACAUUUUCUGGAGCCUGCCACGUGAAGGAAAAUAGCUGACAGUAUUUGUUUCCAAAUAUAAAAUUCAAGCUUUGGGGGAAAGUGAGGAUUUUGGGAAAUUGUAUUCCCUGCCAUUGGUUGGCAGUUUUCCUGAAAAGAUUUUUCUGAUGAGAUAGGUGAUGUUAUCAACCAGUGUGGUUUUUAUAUAAUAUUUCAGUAUUUGCAAGAUCUGCAUUACUCAGUAAACCAAGAUUUCCCAGAUGACCAAAGCAUGACUUUACAAAACCAUGUGUGAGUAAAAGAAUCAUCCAAAGAUAGGCCAGUGGAUUUUAAUGUAACAGAGUGCGAAAAGUUUAUAGUAUGGUCUCAACCUUUACAAAACUAAUGGUUGUUUAAUUUCGAUGUGGUAUGAACAGGAAUAAUCACAAUUAUCUGAAAACUCAUUAAAAUAUUCCUCCCUUUUCCAACUA
Molecule: long non-coding RNA, 2985 nt
Organism: Phyllostomus hastatus (greater spear-nosed bat)
Lineage: Eukaryota; Metazoa; Chordata; Mammalia; Chiroptera; Phyllostomidae
Exons: 2
Source: RefSeq, a predicted model, not a curated record